GGGUGUGCCAAAGUCAUCCUCCAACACUUGAAGCAUGUUCUUUGGCUGAGCCAUCUCAAAUCUAUGAUUGAACUUGUUGCUCAUGGCAGCCAGCAUGAUGCAGCGCAUCGUGGUCCGGUCACUGAGCCACUUCUGAUAAGUGUCUCUGACUGUUCCACAUGCAUCGGUAGCUGGCUCCUCAGGUGCAGGAUCCGUUAUCACAUAUAGG
RNAcentral lists this long non-coding RNA (208 nucleotides) under Elaeis guineensis (African oil palm). RNAcentral describes it as "long non-coding RNA (EGUI_LNC064026)". Lineage: Eukaryota; Viridiplantae; Streptophyta; Magnoliopsida; Arecales; Arecaceae. The record is from RNAcentral.